CAGUAGCCACGGUACUACGAAGGGGGCUAGCGUUGUUCGGAAUUACUGGGCGUAAAGCGCACGUAGGCGGAUAUUUAAGUCAGGGGUGAAAUCCCAGAGCUCAACUCUGGAACUGCCUUUGAUACUGGGUAUCUUGAGUAUGGAAGAGGUGAGUGGAAUUCCGAGUGUAGAGGUGAAAUUCGUAGAUAUUCGGAGGAACACCAGUGGCGAAGGCGGCUCACUGGUCCAUUACUGACGCUGAGGUGCGAAAGCGUGGGGAGCAAACAGGAUUAGAUACCCGCGUAGUCCCUGUCCUUAUACA
Molecule: ribosomal RNA, 301 nt
Filed under: uncultured bacterium
Lineage: Bacteria
Description: partial 16S ribosomal RNA
Rfam family: Bacterial small subunit ribosomal RNA
Source: RNAcentral